UCGCCUAGAAGGACUGACUGAGGUUUGAUCCGAUGUGAGCCAGAAAAUAAACUCCUUGCUUUUGCAUCAAUCUGCGUUUUGGUGUCUCACUCAGGGGCAUCACAAAAUCCAAGAUUCUCUGAAGACCUGCUUGAGCCCAACUUGUAUGCAAAAGCAGAGUCUUCAUUCAAGCUGAAGCUUGGACCCUCAAACCCCUUUGGUAUACUGGGGCAGUGCAGAAGACCCAAGAACCUGAGUGUCUUGGUUGAUGUUUUGUGAACUUGACAAAAGCUAGAUUUAUUGUGGAAAAGAAAUUUCAAUUGAGAAAUUUCUCAAUAAAACUAUCC
Molecule: long non-coding RNA, 326 nt
Organism: Mus caroli (Ryukyu mouse)
Lineage: Eukaryota; Metazoa; Chordata; Mammalia; Rodentia; Muridae
Source: RefSeq, a predicted model, not a curated record